UAUAUACUCGCUCUGUCCGGAAAUACUUGUUGGACAAAUAGAUGUAUCUAGACGUAUUUUAGUUCUAGAUACAUCCAUGUUUAUCCAUUUCUCCGACAAGUAUUUCUGGAUGGAGGGAGUAUCUC
This is a non-coding RNA of Triticum aestivum (bread wheat), 125 nucleotides long. NCBI's taxonomy places the organism in Eukaryota, Viridiplantae, Streptophyta, Magnoliopsida, Poales, Poaceae. The record is from Rfam.